Molecule: ribosomal RNA, 368 nt
Filed under: uncultured Clostridium sp.
Lineage: Bacteria; Bacillati; Bacillota; Clostridia; Eubacteriales; Clostridiaceae
Description: bacterial SSU rRNA
Rfam family: Bacterial small subunit ribosomal RNA
Source: RNAcentral
GUAGGGGGCUAGCGUUAUCCGGAAUUACUGGGCGUAAAGGGUGCGUAGGUGGUUUCUUAAGUCAGAGGUGAAAGGCUACGGCUCAACCGUAGUAAGCCUUUGAAACUGAGAAACUUGAGUGCAGGAGAGGAGAGUAGAAUUCCUAGUGUAGCGGUGAAAUGCGUAGAUAUUAGGAGGAAUACCAGUUGCGAAGGCGGCUCUCUGGACUGUAACUGACACUGAGGCACGAAAGCGUGGGGAGCAAACAGGAUUAGAUACCCUGGUAGUCCACGCCGUAAACGAUGAGUACUAGCUGUCGGAGGUUACCCCCUUCGGUGGCGCAGCUAACGCAUUAAGUACUCCGCCUGGGAAGUACGCUCGCAAGAGUG